UCUAAGGUACCGAAAUUCAUUGACUACUAAUUAUAGUCCUGCAUGAAUGACGUAAUGAUACAUAAACUGUCUCCAAUAAUGACUCAGUGAAAUUGAAAUCGCAGUGAAGAUGCUGUGUAUCUAUAGUUUGACAAGAAGACCCUAUGCAGCUUUACUGUAAUCAGAUA
RNAcentral lists this ribosomal RNA (167 nucleotides) under Pycnococcus provasolii. RNAcentral's name for it is "partial Bacterial large subunit ribosomal RNA". It matches the Rfam family "Bacterial large subunit ribosomal RNA", at positions 1950 to 2116 of the family's 2925-position model. Lineage: Eukaryota; Viridiplantae; Chlorophyta; Pseudoscourfieldiophyceae; Pseudoscourfieldiales; Pycnococcaceae. The record is from RNAcentral.